RNAcentral lists this ribosomal RNA (438 nucleotides) under uncultured bacterium. Its description in RNAcentral is "partial 16S ribosomal RNA". It matches the Rfam family "Bacterial small subunit ribosomal RNA", at positions 339 to 795 of the family's 1533-position model. The record is from RNAcentral.
CUACGGGGCGCUGCAGUGGGGAAUUUUGCGCAAUGGGCGAAAGCCUGACGCAGCAACGCCGCGUGCGGGAUGAAGGCCUUCGGGUCGUAAACCGCUUUCAGCAGGGAAGAAGUUGACUGUACCUGCAGAAGAAGCUCCGGCUAACUACGUGCCAGCAGCCGCGGUAAUACGUAGGGAGCGAGCGUUAUCCGGAUUUAUUGGGCGUAAAGCGCGCGUAGGCGGCUUGCCAAGCGGGAUCUCAAAACCGAGGGCUCAACCCCCGGACGGAUCCCGAACUGGCAGGCUCGAGUUCGGUAGGGGAAGAUGGAAUUCCCAGUGUAGCGGUGAAAUGCGCAGAUAUUGGGAAGAACACCGAUGGCGAAGGCAGUCUUCUGGGCCGCAACUGACGCUGAGGUGCGAAAGCUAGGGGAGCGAACAGGAUUAGAUACCCUUGUAGUC